GUCUGCUGCCAUACCACUUUGAACGUGCCUGAUGUUGGAAGCUACUAAGCAGGGUUAGGCCUGGUUAGACUUGGUAUGGGAGACCACAUGGGCACACCAGGUGCUGUAGAGU
Molecule: ribosomal RNA, 112 nt
Filed under: Callithrix jacchus (white-tufted-ear marmoset)
Lineage: Eukaryota; Metazoa; Chordata; Mammalia; Primates; Cebidae
Source: RNAcentral